UCGAGUUACCGCUCUACAACCCUUUGUGAACAUACCUAACUGUUGCUUCGAGCGGCGGCAGGGGUGAUCCCCCGGGGACGCCCUCCCGGCCCCGCCCCCCUACCAGGGGACGUGGCUCCCGCCGGAGGAUACCCAACUCUAUUUUAACGACGUUUCUUCUGAGUGGCACAAGCAAAUAAUUA
This 182-nucleotide unclassified non-coding RNA is filed under the name soil metagenome. RNAcentral's name for it is "partial internal transcribed spacer 1". The record is from RNAcentral.